Molecule: microRNA precursor, 218 nt
Filed under: Picea abies (Norway spruce)
Lineage: Eukaryota; Viridiplantae; Streptophyta; Pinopsida; Pinales; Pinaceae
Description: miR11536 stem-loop (pab-MIR11536)
Source: miRBase by way of RNAcentral
UAAUGAGGACAUGUGAUUUGGAUGCAUGAAUGUAUUGGGGUAUUUGGAGGAGGUUCUCCUAUUCUUUAAGGAGUUAUCGUGUAACUCAUCUCUCUUAUCUAUCUUGGAGUUUUGCUCCAUGCUCACAUUGGUGUACAUGGUGUGUACUUCUAGUUUAUUAUGAUAUCUUAAGCAUUUGGAUCCUAACAUUUGAACAUCCAAAUCACAUGUUCUCAAUA